This 387-nucleotide ribosomal RNA is filed under the name Clostridioides difficile. RNAcentral's name for it is "partial 23S ribosomal RNA". It matches the Rfam family "Bacterial large subunit ribosomal RNA", at positions 1477 to 1874 of the family's 2925-position model. Lineage: Bacteria; Bacillati; Bacillota; Clostridia; Peptostreptococcales; Peptostreptococcaceae. The record is from RNAcentral.
GUAGGAUAAGCUAAGCACACUGUUGGUUAUGUGUGCCCAAGCAUUGAGGCAGUCAAAGUAGGCAAAUCCGCUUUGAUAAUGCUGGGAUGUGAUGGGGAGCGAAAUUUAGUAGCGAAGUAGCUGAUUUCACACUGUCAAGAAAAGUCUCUAUCGAGGUUAAAGGUACCCGUACCGCAAACCGACACAGGUGGGUGAGGAGAGUAUCCUAAGGCCAGCGAGAGAACUGUUGUUAAGGAACUCGGCAAAAUGACCCCGUAACUUAGGGAUAAGGGGUGCCACCAUCAGGUGGCCGCAGAGAAUAGGCCCAAGCGACUGUUUACCAAAAACAUAGGUUUCUGCUAAGUCGCAAGACGAUGUAUAGGAGCUGACGCCUGCCCGGUGCUGGAA